GAUAAACGCUGGCGGCGCACAUAAGACAUGCAAGUUGAACGGACUUAAUCGAAAUAUUUAUAUUUUGAAGCGGUUAGUGGCGGACUGGUGAGUAACGCGUAAGGAACCUGCCUAUUAGAGGGGAAUAACAGUGAGAAAUCAUUGCUAAUACCGCAUAUGCCAUAGAUAUCACAUGAUAACAGUGGGAAAGGAGCAAUCCGCUAAUAGAUGGCCUUGCGUCUGAUUAGAUAGUUGGUGGGGUAACGGCCUACCAAGUCGACGAUCAGUAGCCGGACUGAGAGGUUGAACGGACACAUUGGGACGGAGAUACGGCCCAGACUCCUACGGGAGGCAGCAGUCGGGAAUAUUGCGCAAUGGAGGAAACUCUGACGCAGUGACGCCGCGUAUAGGAAGAAGGUUGUCGGAUUGUAAAAUAUUGUCGUUAGGGAAGAGAAAGGACAGUACCUAAGGAGGAAGCUCCGGCUAACUACGUG
RNAcentral lists this ribosomal RNA (473 nucleotides) under uncultured bacterium. RNAcentral's name for it is "partial 16S ribosomal RNA". It matches the Rfam family "Bacterial small subunit ribosomal RNA", at positions 28 to 507 of the family's 1533-position model. The record is from RNAcentral.